AGCAGCCGCGGUAAUUCCAGCUCCAAUAGCGUAUAUUAAAGUUGUUGCAGUUAAAAAGCUCGUAGUUGAAUUUCGGGAUUAAUUUACUGGUCGUGCUUUUGUACGUACUGGUUUUAUUGAUUCCUCCCUUCUGACGAACUAUGAUGUCAUUAAUUUGGUGUUAUAGGAAAUCAGGACUGUUACUUUGAAAAAAUUAGAGUGUUUAAAGCAGGCUCACGCUUGAAUACAUUAGCAUGGAAUAACGGAAUAGGACGUUUGAUUCUAUUUUGUUGGUUUCUAGGAUCGACGUAAUGAUUAAUAGGGAUAGUUGGGGGCACUAGUAUUCAAUUGUCAGAGGUGAAAUUCUUGGAUUUAUUGAAGACUAACUACUGCGAAAGCAUUUGCCAGGAUGUUUUCAUUAAUCAAGAACGAAAGUUAGGGGAUCGAAGACGAUCAGAUACCGUCGUAGUC
Molecule: ribosomal RNA, 450 nt
Filed under: uncultured Glomeromycotina
Lineage: Eukaryota; Fungi; Glomeromycota
Description: SSU rRNA
Rfam family: Eukaryotic small subunit ribosomal RNA
Source: RNAcentral